Gasterosteus aculeatus aculeatus (three-spined stickleback) is the source of this 795-nucleotide long non-coding RNA. Lineage: Eukaryota; Metazoa; Chordata; Actinopteri; Perciformes; Gasterosteidae. The record is from Ensembl.
CAGAAAUUGAGACUCAUCAGACCAGGCAACAUAUUUCCAGUCUUCAACUGUCCAAUUUUGCAUCAACAUGGCAUUUUCACCCACAGGACUGCCGCAUACUGGAUGUUUUCCCCUUUUCACACCAUUCUUUGUAAACCCUAGAAAUCCCAUUUGACGUUCAGGAGAUUGUCUUGACCAGGACCACACCCCUAACUGCAUUGAAGCAACUGCCAUGUGAUUGGUUGAUCAGAUAAUUGCAUUAAUGAGAAAUUGAACAGGUGUUCCUAAUAAUCCUUUAGCCAUGAUCUACCUCAACAGCAAAUCUGGUUUGUGAGCUCCUAUUAAGAAUAAAGGCCGUGGUCCACAACUGUACAUAUUUAAAUUCUUCUCAUAACAGCAUCUCCACAUCAGACCAAUAGUCCAGUGACUUAAGCGGCGGGACACACUGGCUGGAUUUGGACUCCUUGGGACCAUAGUUCCAGUUCCUUCUGAGCCGGACCCGUCCUCAGCCUCACAGGGGGCUCUGGUUGAGCUCCACAGCUCUGUGUGUGUUUCUACUGACGCGUGCGGGGGGGUAGAGACAGGUCGGCCGUUAGCUUGUGAAUGCCGUAUGUGUCGUAUGUGUACAGACUGUAAAGCCCCCUGAGGCAAAUUUGUAAUUUGCAAUUUUGGGCUAUACAAAAUACAAUUAAUUGAAUUUAAUUGAAUUUAAUUUAAUGUUCAAUCACUACAGAAUUCAAUUUUGGGGGGAGGUUUCUCAAAAUAAUGUACAUGCAACUCAGUUUGUGGCAGCCUUUUUUGGGCCCUAAGGCAGAG